UGGGGAAUAUUGGACAAUGGGCGAAAGCCUGAUCCAGCCAUGCCGCGUGUGUGAAGAAGGUCUUCGGAUUGUAAAGCACUUUAAGUUGGGAGGAAGGGCAGUUACCUAAUACGUAUCUGUUUUGACGUUACCGACAGAAUAAGCACCGGCUAACUCUGUGCCAGCAGCCGCGGUAAUACAGAGGGUGCAAGCGUUAAUCGGAAUUACUGGGCGUAAAGCGCGCGUAGGUGGUUAGUUAAGUUGGAUGUGAAAUCCCCGGGCUCAACCUGGGAACUGCAUUCAAAACUGACUGACUAGAGUAUGGUAGAGGGUGGUGGAAUUUCCUGUGUAGCGGUGAAAUGCGUAGAUAUAGGAAGGAACACCAGUGGCGAAGGCGACCACCUGGACUGAUACUGACACUGAGGUGCGAAAGCGUGGGGAGCAAACAGGAUUAGAUACCCCAGUAGUCCCUGAGCGGGCUGGCAAGGCGCAU
Molecule: ribosomal RNA, 472 nt
Filed under: uncultured bacterium
Lineage: Bacteria
Description: bacterial SSU rRNA
Rfam family: Bacterial small subunit ribosomal RNA
Source: RNAcentral